AAUUUUUUAUAAAAUUUUAUCUUAAUAAAAAGUGAAAUUAGAUUAUUAAAUGUAAAAUUUUAUUAAAUUUUAAUAUAAUGAAGCUUAAAAAAUUGAGGUAUGAAUUAGGAUUAGAUACCCUAGUACACUUUAAAUUAAUUGUAAAAAGACUAGAAUACUAAAAGUUAUAUUCUUUAAAUUUAAAAAAUUUGGCGGUAUUUUAGUCUAGUUAGAGGACCUGUUUUUUAAACGACAAUACACGCAUUAUCUUACUUAUUCUAGUAAUCAGUUUGUAUACCGUCAUUAUAAGAUAAUUUAAGAGAGAAUAUUAUUAAGAUCAAUAUUAUGUGAGUAUAUUAGAUCAAGGUGCAGCUAAUGAAUAAGAAAAAAUGGGUUACAAUAAAAAUUAUUUAUACGGAUUUAAUAUUUAAAUAUAUUAAUGAAGGCGGAUUUAAUUGUAAAAUAAAAUUAAUAGGUUUU
RNAcentral lists this ribosomal RNA (459 nucleotides) under Pontastacus leptodactylus (narrow-clawed crayfish). Its description in RNAcentral is "Astacus leptodactylus (narrow-clawed crayfish) partial small subunit ribosomal RNA". Lineage: Eukaryota; Metazoa; Arthropoda; Malacostraca; Decapoda; Astacidae. The record is from RNAcentral.